GCGAGAGUGGCGGAAUUGGUAGACGCGCUGGAUUUAGGUUCCAGUGGGGUAAACCCGUGAGAGUUCGAGUCUCUCCUUUCGCACCA
This 86-nucleotide transfer RNA is filed under the name Gammaproteobacteria bacterium. RNAcentral describes it as "tRNA-Leu". It matches the Rfam family "tRNA". From Rfam's summary of the family: Transfer RNA (tRNA) molecules are approximately 80 nucleotides in length. Their secondary structure includes four short double-helical elements and three loops (D, anti-codon, and T loops). The record is from RNAcentral. RNAcentral also lists the same sequence under 2 other names. Lineage: Bacteria; Pseudomonadati; Pseudomonadota; Gammaproteobacteria.